RNAcentral lists this ribosomal RNA (1281 nucleotides) under Triticum aestivum (bread wheat). RNAcentral's name for it is "partial small subunit ribosomal RNA". The record is from RNAcentral. Lineage: Eukaryota; Viridiplantae; Streptophyta; Magnoliopsida; Poales; Poaceae.
AUGGUGCAGAGGUACCCACAGAACAAGAACAAAGGGAAGAACAAACCUGUUUUUAACAACGCUAGCAAUACUGAUGGGUAUGGUAAUUUACCUAUUGUGCUUUCAGUAUUUCAAUCAUCUUCGUGGUGGAUUGAUUCGGGUGCUAACGUUCAUGUGUGUGCUGGCAUCUCCCUGUUUACUUCUUAUCAGGUCGCAAGGGAUUCUUCCGUCCUAAUGGGGAAUGGGUCACAUGCUUCUGUUCGUGGCAUUGGCACGGUGGAUCUGAAGUUUACUUCGGGAAAGAUUGUGCAACUAAAGAACGUGCAGCAUGUCCCUACUAUGAACAAGAAUCUAGUUAGCGGCUCCCUUCUAUGUCGAGAUGGAUUUAAGGUAGUUUUAGAGUCCAAUAAAGUAAUCGUGUCAAGAUUUGGACAAUUUAUAGGAAAAGGCUAUGAGUGCAGAGGCUUGUUCCGCUUUUCUCUUUCAGAUUUUUGCAAUAAGUCAAUAAACCAAAUUUGUGCUAGUGUUAAUGAUGAUGCAAGUAUUUGGCACUCUCGUUUAUGUCAUAUUAAUUUUGGUUUAAUGUCUCGGCUAUCCAGCAUGAGUUUAAUUCCGAACUUCACAGUUACCAAAGGUUCUAAGUGCCAUAGUUGUGUGCAAUCUAAGCAACCUCGAAAGCCUCAUAAGGCUGCCGAGGAGAGAAACUUGGCACCUCUAGAACUCAUACAUUCUGAUCUUUGUGAGAUGAAUGGUGUGUUGACAAAAGGUGGAAAGAGAUAUUUCAUGACUUUGAUUGAUGAUGCGACUAGAUUUUGCUAUGUUUAUUUGUUGCAAACUAAAGAUGAAACAUUAGACUACUUUAAAAUCUAUAAAGCUGAAGUUGAAAAUCAACUAGAGAGAAAGAUCAAGCGUCUUAGGUCCGAUCGUGGUGGAGAGUAUUUUCCAAAAGUUUUUGAUGAAUUUUGUGAGGAAUAUGGUAUUAUUCAUGAGAGGACGCCUCCCUAUUCACCUCAAUCAAAUGGAGUGGCCGAGAGGAAAAACCGCACAUUGACUGACUUGGUGAAUGCCAUGUUAGACACUGCUGGUUUAUCUAAGGCAUGGUGGGAGGAGGCUCUAUUGACUUCAUGUCAUGUCCUGAAUAGAGUUCCCAACAAUAAUAAAGAGAAAACCCCUUAUGAGGAGUGGGUUGGGAGAAAACCAUCACUUUUUAUUUGCGCACUUGGGGAUGUUUGGCAAAGGUCAAUAUUCCUAUUCCUAAGAAACGCAAACUUGGACCAAAGACAGUGGAUUGUGUCUUUCUAG